UUGAACUGUUGUUUCAGAAAAUAAUGGAGGUUCAAUUUUGAUUGGAUCAGAGGAGGAAGAGGAGCUUCUGUUCCAGAAAUCAACCUUUUCAGAAGGAAACGUAACGUUUUUCAGAAUGUCUUGGGACUGAAGUUAGAACAUCAUCCCCUCAGCUUGGCCCCUGGAGCAGCGAUCAUCUUGGAUGUGGCUCAAGGCUUCUUCCUCUAAGAGUCCAAACAUGAAAGGAGUAUGUCACAGAAGUACGUCACUGAGACACGGCCCUCCACCUAAGGUGAACCAGUGACGAGAGAAGCAGUCAACGAACCUUUGGAGAUACAGGACCUUCAAAUCUUCUACAUCGUUGAACACCUAUGGCCAACAGAUAUCGCCAAGCAGACUCUAAUGGUGGGACCAGUUUGUUUUACCAUCCAGCUACAUGAAACAUCACCUGAGAUUUUUAUUUCGAAAGCUGCGCCAGGACCCAGAAAAAAGGUUGGACAUAAAUUUUGAUUCAGUCUCUGGCCCAGGGAUUGUUUUUGGUUCAUUU
Long non-coding RNA from Xiphophorus couchianus (Monterrey platyfish), 526 nucleotides. RefSeq lists it as uncharacterized. NCBI's taxonomy places the organism in Eukaryota, Metazoa, Chordata, Actinopteri, Cyprinodontiformes, Poeciliidae. The transcript is spliced from 5 exons. The record is from RefSeq and is a predicted model, not a curated record.